Molecule: long non-coding RNA, 1955 nt
Organism: Sarcophilus harrisii (Tasmanian devil)
Lineage: Eukaryota; Metazoa; Chordata; Mammalia; Dasyuromorphia; Dasyuridae
Source: Ensembl
GGAAAAUAUGAAUCUUGCAAUUUCAAACUCCAGGGUUUGUGUUUAUUUUUCCUUUUAAAAAUUUUCUGAGACAUGCAUAAUAUGACAUUGCUUUAUAAUAAAUAUUUAAACAUAGGAAUAUUCCAUAUUAUCAGUGUCACUUAUUUUAGUGGUAGAGUGAAACUCAAAGAAAUAUGUUUUCUGGAAUGUAACAGCAUAAAUGAUAACCUGUUUCCAUCUAAAUUUUGGAAUCUCUCUUUUGCACUGGCUACCUUAAAAAUAUGAAGAAAAACUUUUAUUACAGAUGAUAAUUCACUUAACAUGAUAAUGUAAUGGUCUAAUUAUAAUCAGAAAUUUAACUCUGAAAUAUUUUCAUUUAUAGGGAAUAAUUAAAACUGCUGUGCUCCUAAUGUUAUAGGGAACAUAAUAUAAAUAAAACUACAUAGAGGGUCAGAGGAACCUAAGUUCAAUUCUGGUGCUACUACUUACCUCAGUUUCCUCAUUUUCCUCAUUCCUAGAAGAACUCUGAGGUUCUUUCCACCUUUAAAACUAUGAUUCCUACUUAUUUUGAAGGCCACAGUUUUCCUGUUUUCUAUCUUCUAGAAGUUUUGAAAGCCUUUAAGUUAAGGCAAAAGCAUUUCUAACCUAUUCUUCCUUAAAGAAAUAACCAGCACAUGUAGUAACAAACAUUAUAUGAAAAUUCUAAGUGAAUCUCUCCCCCCUAUUUUGACAAUAUACAACGAUGUAAAUAUUUCAGUGUGACCACUUCUCAAUAGAUUUUGAAUUCCAAUUCCCUCAAACAAGAAUUAAAUAUCUAAAAUAAUAUUAAACAUAAAAAUGGAUCAUACAAGUUGAAAAUACAGCAGUUUUAUUUGAUUUCAGUAAGCUUUAGUUGCAAAGACUACUUAAUUUUUAGCCCUUAAAAACAUAUUAGUCAUCAACACCUUAUUUUCAAGUAAUAUUGUUGAGACUAAAUAAAAUAUUUAAUGUUUUCAGUCAUGAACCCUAGCAAACACUAUUCCUUGAAAGCUAGAGUACAUCAACAGUACAAAUAGGUUUCUUUUUCUUUAAGGAAGAAUAACUCACCAAAGCAGUUAAGGCAAAGUCACACCAAAAAUACAAGGACACUAGGCAAAUUUUAAAUUCCAUAACAUUUAGGUGAUGUUACAUAAAAAAUAUAUAUUCCCUUAUUAUUUUUUAUCACAUUUUUUAAAUGCAGAGUUAUUGAUAUCUAAACGAUCCUAAGAUCGUAUGGAAGAAAGCAAUUUUUUUCAAUUUAGUAUAACUACUGGGGAAAAUGACAGAAAUGUGCUUGUUUAAAUUGAUACAUUACUCUUCUAACAUAAUCUGAAUUGAGAUUUUGAAGUAAAAUCAUCAGUGCAAAAAUGUGUUUAUAAGUUCUACAGAAAUAAGGACCAUUAUAUAUGCUUAGAGGAAUGGACUGACUAAGUCAAUUAAAGUGCAUGGUAAAGGAUUUGCUUGUCUUUUAAAAUGGUUUAUUACAAGUCAGCUUGCUGUGGAAUGUCAAAUUCUGAAAAAAACCAGAUAUAAUGUACUGAUAAAGCUUAUCAACAGACUUUUUUUUUUAAAAGCCACCGAUGUUAAAUAUUUUUUUCCUCAAAAAGUCAUGUGAUGCAUAGUAAAACUUGUUAUGCUUGUAAAUAUUUGCAUAUUUAGGUUAGGAGAGCAUAUUAAAAGGUAGCUGAUGUGACUCUUUAGUCACUAAUCACAAGUCAAGAAGAAACUUGUGUAUUAAAAAUAGGAUCCCAUAUAUCUCAUAAGUAAAAUACCUUUGCACUGCAUUGUUAGUAAGAUAACAAAUUUAUGUAAGAAACUAAUUCAUAUAUACAUUGAAAUUCACAUUCCACUUUCACAUCAAAUGUUUUUUAAAGCUCUGUUUUAAAGAAGUUAAGUGGUUACAGUAUAUUCCAAAAUUAUCUUAAAAAGAUUAGUAAGCAUGGUUUGCUAUAGCAGCA